Molecule: ribosomal RNA, 464 nt
Filed under: Vreelandella stevensii
Lineage: Bacteria; Pseudomonadati; Pseudomonadota; Gammaproteobacteria; Oceanospirillales; Halomonadaceae
Description: partial 16S ribosomal RNA
Rfam family: Bacterial small subunit ribosomal RNA
Source: RNAcentral
CCUACGGGUGGCUGCAGUGGGGAAUAUUGGACAAUGGGGGCAACCCUGAUCCAGCCAUGCCGCGUGUGUGAAGAAGGCCCUCGGGUUGUAAAGCACUUUCAGUGAGGAAGAACGCCUGGUGGUUAAUACCCAUCAGGAAAGACAUCACUCACAGAAGAAGCACCGGCUAACUCCGUGCCAGCAGCCGCGGUAAUACGGAGGGUGCGAGCGUUAAUCGGAAUUACUGGGCGUAAAGCGCGCGUGGUGGCUUGAUAAGCCGGUUGUGAAAGCCCCGGGCUCAACCUGGGAACGGCAUCCGGAACUGUCAAGCUAGAGUGCAGGAGAGGAAGGUAGAAUUCCCGGUGUAGCGGUGAAAUGCGUAGAGAUCGGGAGGAAUACCAGUGGCGAAGGCGGCCUUCUGGACUGACACUGACACUGAGGUGCGAAAGCGUGGGUAGCAAACAGGAUUAGAUACCCUUGUAGUC